This 492-nucleotide ribosomal RNA is filed under the name uncultured bacterium. RNAcentral's name for it is "partial 16S ribosomal RNA". It matches the Rfam family "Bacterial small subunit ribosomal RNA", at positions 29 to 507 of the family's 1533-position model. The record is from RNAcentral.
AGUGAACGCUGGCGGUAGGCCUAACACAUGCAAGUCGAACGGCAGCACAGUAAGAGCUUGCUCUUACGGGUGGCGAGUGGCGGACGGGUGAGGAAUACAUCGGAAUCUACUUUUUCGUGGGGGAUAACGUAGGGAAACUUACGCUAAUACCUCAUACUACCUACGGGUGAAAGCAGGGGAUCUUCGGACCUUGCGCGAUUGAAUGAGCCGAUGUCGGAUUAGCUAGUUGGCGGGGUAAAGGCCCACCAAGGCGACGAUCCGUAGCUGGUCUGAGAGGAUGAUCAGCCACACUGGAACUGAGACACGGUCCAGAAUCCUAAGGGAGGCAGCAGUGGGGAAUAUUGGACAAUGGGCGCAAGCCUGAUCCAGCCAUACCGCGUGGGUGAAGAAGGCCUUCGGGUUGUAAAGCCCUUUUGUUGGGAAAGAAAAGCAGCAGGUUAAUACCCCGCUGUUCUGACGGUACCCAAAGAAUAAGCAACGGCUAACUUCGUG